GACACGGCCCAGACUCCUACGGGAGGCAGCAGUGGGGAAUAUUGCACAAUGGGCGAAAGCCUGAUGCAGCCAUGCCGCGUGUGUGAAGAAGGCUCUAGGGUUGUAAAGCACUUUCAGUGGGGAGGAAAAGCUCAAAAUUAAUACUUUUGAGCCUUGACGUUACCUGCAGAAGAAGCACCGGCAAACUCCGUGCCAGCAGCCGCGGUAAUACGGAGGGUGCGAGCGUUAAUCGGAAUUACUGGGCGUAAAGCGCGCGUAGGUGGUUUGAUAAGCUAGCUGUGAAAGCCCUGGGCUCAACCUGGGAACUGCAGUUAGAACUGUCUGGCUAGAGUAUAGUAGAGGGUGGCGGAAUUUCCUGUGUAGCGGUGAAAUGCGUAGAUAUAGGAAGGAACAUCAGUGGCGAAGGCGGCCACCUGGACUAAUACUGACACUGAGGUGCGAAAGCGUGGGGAGCAAACAGGAUUAGAUACCCUGGUAGUCCACGCCGUAAACGAUGUCUACUAGCCGUUGGGAGACUUGAUCUCUUAGUGGCGCAGUUAACGCGAUAAGUAGACCGCCUGGGGAGUACGGCCGCAAGGUUAAAACUCAAAUGAAUUGACGGGGGCCCGCACAAGCGGUGGAGCAUGUGGUUUAAUUCGACGCAACGCGAAGAACCUUACCAGGUCUUGACAUCCUAGAAACUUAGCAGAGAUGCUUUGGUGCCUUCGGGAAUCUAGUGACAGGUGCUGCAUGGCUGUCGUCAGCUCGUGUCGUGAGAUGUUGGGUUAAGUCCCGUAACGAGCGCAACCCUUGUCCUUAGUUGCCAGCACGUAAUGGUGGGAACUCUAAGGAGACUGCCGGUGACAAACCGGAGGAAGGUGGGGACGACGUCAAGUCAUCAUGGCCCUUACGACCUGGGCUACACACGUGCUACAAUGGCCAGUACAGAGGGCUGCAAGCCCGCGAGGGGGAGCUAAUCUCACAAAGCUGGUCGUAGUCCGGAUCGCAGUCUGCAACUCGACUGCGUGAAGUUGGAAUCGCUAGUAAUCGUGAAUCAGAAUGUCACGGUGAAUACGUUCCCGGGCCUUGUACACACCGCCCGUCACACCAUGGGAGUGGGUUGCAAAAGAAGUGGGUAGACUAACCUUCGGGAGGUCGCUCACCACUUUGUGAUUCAUGACUGGGGUGAAGUCGUAACAAGGUAGCCCUAGGGGAACCUGGGGCUG
Molecule: ribosomal RNA, 1205 nt
Filed under: marine metagenome
Description: bacterial SSU rRNA
Rfam family: Bacterial small subunit ribosomal RNA
Source: RNAcentral